RNAcentral lists this ribosomal RNA (264 nucleotides) under uncultured archaeon. RNAcentral describes it as "partial 16S ribosomal RNA". It matches the Rfam family "Archaeal small subunit ribosomal RNA", at positions 718 to 982 of the family's 1478-position model. The record is from RNAcentral.
AGUCACUGACAUUAGAUACCCCCGUAGUCCCAGCCGUAAACAAUGUGCGUUAGGUGUGUCGGUAACCACGUGUUACUGAUGCGCCGAAGAGAAAUCGUGAAACGCACCACCUGGGAAGUACGGUCGCAAGGCUGAAACUUAAAGGAAUUGGCGGGGAGCACCACAACAGGCGGAGCCUGCGGUUUAAUUGGAUUCAACGCCGGACAUCUCACCGGAUAAGACAGCUGAAUGAUUGUCAAUCUGAAGGUUUUACAUGACUAGCUG